RNAcentral lists this non-coding RNA (321 nucleotides) under Lachnospiraceae bacterium. Its description in RNAcentral is "T-box sequence". It matches the Rfam family "T-box leader". From Rfam's summary of the family: Uncharged tRNA acts as the effector for transcription antitermination of genes in the T-box leader family. T-boxes are found upstream of many aminoacyl-tRNA synthetase genes and some amino acid biosynthetic genes usually in Gram-positive bacteria. The anticodon of a specific tRNA base pairs to a specifier sequence within the T-box motif, and the NCCA acceptor tail of the tRNA base pairs to a conserved bulge in the T-box antiterminator hairpin. The record is from RNAcentral. Lineage: Bacteria; Bacillati; Bacillota; Clostridia; Lachnospirales; Lachnospiraceae.
GGAAACACAGUGAAAAAGAGAGUACGCAUACCAGAAUGGCAAAGAGAAUCCCGGCGGGUGGGAAGGGACGCAGGAGGGUAUGCGGAAGAUGGCUUUGGAGUGGCAUUGGUGAACUGUCUUAAAUGGGCAGCUAGGCAAUGACAGGACCGCCUGUUACAGCGGGAAGUAUAGAGGGGCGCUAAGGUUAUCUGAAAACGUUAGUUACGCCAUAUGGAAGGGAGUUUCAAGCGCGUUCUGGGCAGUUCCCAAAAUACUUGCAAAGGCCUGUGCUGUGAAGGGCAGGCAAAGAGAAGUGGUACCGCGGGACAGUCCGCCUUCUAU